UACGUAGGGUGCGAGCGUUAAUCGGAAUUACUGGGCGUAAAGGGUGCGCAGGCGGUUUUGUAAGCCAGAUGUGAAAUCCCCGGGCUUAACCUGGGAAUGGCAUUUGGGACUGCAAGGCUGGAGUGUGGCAGAGGAGACUGGAAUUCCUGGUGUAGCAGUGAAAUGCGUAGAUAUCAGGAGGAAUACCGAUGGCGAAGGCAGGUCUCUGGGCUGACACUGACGCUCAUGCACGAAAGCUUGGGGAGCAAACAGG
RNAcentral lists this ribosomal RNA (253 nucleotides) under uncultured bacterium. RNAcentral describes it as "partial 16S ribosomal RNA". It matches the Rfam family "Bacterial small subunit ribosomal RNA", at positions 524 to 776 of the family's 1533-position model. The record is from RNAcentral.